RNAcentral lists this ribosomal RNA (463 nucleotides) under uncultured bacterium. RNAcentral's name for it is "bacterial SSU rRNA". It matches the Rfam family "Bacterial small subunit ribosomal RNA", at positions 335 to 788 of the family's 1533-position model. The record is from RNAcentral.
ACUCCUACGGGAGGCAGCAGUAGGGAAUCUUCCACAAUGGGCGCAAGCCUGAUGGAGCAACACCGCGUGAGUGAAGAAGGGUUUCGGCUCGUAAAGCUCUGUUGUUAAAGAAGAACACGUAUGAGAGUAACUGUUCAUACGUUGACGGUAUUUAACCAGAAAGUCACGGCUAACUACGUGCCAGCAGCCGCGGUAAUACGUAGGUGGCAAGCGUUAUCCGGGAUUUAUUGGGCGUAAAGAGAGUGCAGGCGGUUUUCUAAGUCUGAUGUGAAAGCCUUCGGCUUAACCGGAGAAGUGCAUCGGAAACUGGAUAACUUGAGUGCAGAAGAGGGUAGUGGAACUCCAUGUGUAGUGGUGGAAUGCGUAGAUAUAUGGAAGAACACCGAGUGGCGAAGGCGGCUACCUGGUCUGCAACUGACGCUGAGACUCGAAAGCAUGGGUAGCGAACAGGAUUAGAUACCCC